This 72-nucleotide transfer RNA is filed under the name Camelus ferus (Wild Bactrian camel). It matches the Rfam family "tRNA". Rfam says of the family: Transfer RNA (tRNA) molecules are approximately 80 nucleotides in length. Lineage: Eukaryota; Metazoa; Chordata; Mammalia; Artiodactyla; Camelidae. The record is from Rfam by way of RNAcentral.
GGGGAUACAGCUCCAUGGUAGAGCACAUGCUUAGCAUGUACAAGGUCCUGGGUUCAAUCCCCAGUACCUCCA